This 496-nucleotide ribosomal RNA is filed under the name uncultured bacterium. RNAcentral describes it as "partial 16S ribosomal RNA". It matches the Rfam family "Bacterial small subunit ribosomal RNA", at positions 28 to 506 of the family's 1533-position model. The record is from RNAcentral.
GAUGAACGCUGGCGGCGUGCCUAAUACAUGCAAGUCGAGCGAACAGACGAGGAGCUUGCUCCUCUGACGUUAGCGGCGGACGGGUGAGUAACACGUGGAUAACCUACCUAUAAGACUGGGAUAACUUCGGGAAACCGGAGCUAAUACCGGAUAAUAUAUUGAACCGCAUGGUUCAAUAGUGAAAGACGGUUUUGCUGUCACUUAUAGAUGGAUCCGCGCCGCAUUAGCUAGUUGGUAAGGUAACGGCUUACCAAGGCAACGAUGCGUAGCCGACCUGAGAGGGUGAUCGGCCACACUGGAACUGAGACACGGUCCAGACUCCUACGGGAGGCAGCAGUAGGGAAUCUUCCGCAAUGGGCGAAAGCCUGACGGAGCAACGCCGCGUGAGUGAUGAAGGUCUUCGGAUCGUAAAACUCUGUUAUUAGGGAAGAACAAAUGUGUAAGUAACUAUGCACGUCUUGACGGUACCUAAGCAGAAAACCACGGCUAACUACGU